Long non-coding RNA from Brassica oleracea var. oleracea, 305 nucleotides. RefSeq lists it as uncharacterized. NCBI's taxonomy places the organism in Eukaryota, Viridiplantae, Streptophyta, Magnoliopsida, Brassicales, Brassicaceae. The transcript is spliced from 3 exons. The record is from RefSeq and is a predicted model, not a curated record.
GGAAACCCUAAAUUUAGGAUCAAAUUCGUUGCGAUAUGGCAGGAGGUGAUGAUGCGUCACGACUGGAGACGGGAGUGUGGUGGGACCUCAACACGUGUCCGGUUCCCGCUGGUGUUGACCCUCUUUGUGUCCGUCGGUGUAUAGAAACUGCGUUGGAGAAGAAGAUUGGUCGUGCUUCUGCAGUCAGCAUCUAUGCCAUGGGCAACCUAGAAUACAUCUGUAGUUACUUCUUGGAACAGAUCUCUUACUCUGGAAUCAUUCUUAUUCACGCCCCCUGAAGUGUGAUGGAAUUAUAUGGUUUUCUC